UGCCAGCAGCCGCGGUAAUACGGAGAGUGCAAGCGUUGUUCGGAAUCAUUGGGCGUAAAGGGCGUCUAGGUGGCCCGCCAAGCCAGAUGUGAAAUCCCUCGGCUCAACCGAGGAACUGCAUUUGGAACUGGCGAGCUCGAGUGCUGGAGGGGCUAGCGGAAUUCCCGGUGUAGGGGUGAAAUCCGUAGAUAUCGGGAGGAACACCAGUGGCGUAGGCGGCUGGCUGGCCAGACACUGACACUGAAGCGCGAAAGCAUGGGGAGCAAACAGGAUUAGAUA
This 279-nucleotide ribosomal RNA is filed under the name uncultured bacterium. Its description in RNAcentral is "partial 16S ribosomal RNA". It matches the Rfam family "Bacterial small subunit ribosomal RNA", at positions 506 to 784 of the family's 1533-position model. The record is from RNAcentral.